This 515-nucleotide ribosomal RNA is filed under the name uncultured bacterium. Its description in RNAcentral is "bacterial SSU rRNA". It matches the Rfam family "Bacterial small subunit ribosomal RNA", at positions 9 to 497 of the family's 1533-position model. The record is from RNAcentral.
GAGUUUGAUCCUGGCUCAGAACGAACGCUGGCGGCGUGGAUAAGACAUGCAAGUCGAGCGCGAAUUCUGGUGUAGCAAUACAUCAGAGUUUGAGCGGCGCAAGGGUGCGUAACACGUGGGUAAUUUGCCGUGAAGUUGGGGAUAACUCGCUGAAAGGCGAGCUAAUACCGGAUGUGGUUAUUGGAUGGCAUCAUUUGGUAACUAAAGCUGGGGAUCGUAAGACCUGGCGCUUCAUGAUAAGCCCGCGGCCUAUCAGCUAGUUGGUGAGGUAACGGCUCACCAAGGCUAAGACGGGUAGCUGGUCUGAGAGGACGACCAGCCACACUGGAACUGAGACACGGUCCAGACACCUACGGGUGGCAGCAGUCGAGAAUUUUUCUCAAUGGGCGCAAGCCUGAAGGAGCGACGCCGCGUGGGGGAUGAAGGGUUUCGAUCCGUAAACCCCUGUCAUUCGUGAACAAUGGUUGCCGUUGAACAUUCGGCAACUUGAUAGUAACGGAAGAGGAAGGGACGGC